RNAcentral lists this unclassified non-coding RNA (236 nucleotides) under Hevea brasiliensis (rubber tree). The record is from RNAcentral. Lineage: Eukaryota; Viridiplantae; Streptophyta; Magnoliopsida; Malpighiales; Euphorbiaceae.
UAUCAAGCCUGCAAUGCCAUUAAUGCUGAGUUGGGUCCUAGGAGGAAAUAGUUCAAAGCUAGAAGGAAGAUGGCAAUCUUGCCGAUUAAGUGACAAGGCAAGUGACCAGCUAAAAACAUGGUUUGAAGAUGAUGAUGAACUGGAACGCACCCUUUCUGGAGAGUGGUAUUUGUUCCCUGUAAAUCUUGUAGAUAGCGGAGUAUUACAUCCCAUUCGAUUGAUCAAAGAUGCUGAAA